CACCCAUUGGUGAAAAUUUUCCGACGAAAGGAUUGGGAUAGUAGAUUAUAUCGAAAUUUCAAUAGGAGAUAAGAAA
This 76-nucleotide small RNA is filed under the name Anaerovibrio lipolyticus. Its description in RNAcentral is "RT-18 RNA". It matches the Rfam family "RT-18 RNA". Rfam says of the family: Clostridiales (Firmicutes). Lineage: Bacteria; Bacillati; Bacillota; Negativicutes; Selenomonadales; Selenomonadaceae. The record is from Rfam by way of RNAcentral.